Molecule: small nuclear RNA, 103 nt
Filed under: Propithecus coquereli (Coquerel's sifaka)
Lineage: Eukaryota; Metazoa; Chordata; Mammalia; Primates; Indriidae
Source: RNAcentral
AUGCUUGCUUCAGCAGCACAUAUUCUAAAAUUGAAAUGAUAGAAGAUCAGUGUGGCCCCUGUGUGAGGAUGACACACAAAUUUGUGAAGCAUUCCGUGAAAAA